Molecule: ribosomal RNA, 253 nt
Filed under: uncultured bacterium
Lineage: Bacteria
Description: partial 16S ribosomal RNA
Rfam family: Bacterial small subunit ribosomal RNA
Source: RNAcentral
UACAGAGGUCGCAAGCGUUGUUCGGAAUUACUGGGCGUAAAGGGCGCGUAGGCGGCCAUCUAAGUCAGACGUGAAAUCCCCCGGCUUAACCUGGGAACUGCGUCUGAUACUGGACGGCUGGAGUUUGGGAGAGGGAUGUAGAAUUCCAGGUGUAGCGGUGAAAUGCGUAGAUAUCUGGAGGAAUACCGGUGGCGAAGGCGGCAUCCUGGACCAAUACUGACGCUGAGGCGCGAAAGCUAGGGGAGCAAACAGG